Pantherophis guttatus is the source of this 1991-nucleotide long non-coding RNA. RefSeq lists it as uncharacterized. The record is from RefSeq and is a predicted model, not a curated record. Lineage: Eukaryota; Metazoa; Chordata; Lepidosauria; Squamata; Colubridae.
UCGGCGACGAUAAUGGUUGAGGCCCGGACGGGACUUCCUUAUAUGCCCUUUUGGCCGACCAGAAGGAAACCGCUACCUCUUAAUCGUGACCCCGGAAGCUCCGCCUCAGAAAGCCAAUGGGCAGCGCCUAUUGGUCUAAAAUGUCUCCCAGUUUGCACUGCGAAUAUGUGGUUUUGCUGGGACUUCCUCUCGACCAAAAGAUAGACAGCCCCAUGGCUGGUAGAAAAAAAUAUUUAUAGUGGUGAGCGCGGAAUUGGAGUAAUAGUGAGAAGAACAGUCCAGAGUGACUUUCUUGGAAGAAGGGAAGUAAAGACCCAGUGGAAUGAAAGCUCCCCAGAAGACCCAGGAAUGGGAAGGAUGGAUUUGGCUGGCUGCAGAUGUCAGCUACAUCAAAGAUCCUGGAGGGAGCAGCAGGAAUCAGCUGUCAAUAGAGAAGCUGGGGGGAAACUCGGCAGAAGACCCUGAGAGAGGUUCAUCCUCCAAUGGAGAAGUAAUAGAUGUUUCGGCUGUGAGGAGAAUAUUCAAGCCACACUGAACAACUAUAUAAAGUCCAAUCCUUUAUUUUUUACACACACACAUCAAGCCAGAAACUAGAGGGAGAUAUAAAGAAAGAAGGAAGCAGAAGAGAGAGAGGUAGAAGUCACUGGGAGGGACACCUGGGAGGAAACCUGACAUCAGAACGGUGUUGUUUAGUCCUGUUGUAAAUACUUAAUACAAAUAACUAGUAAAAACCAUAAUGUCCAGUAUCACGUGUUACUGUGUCCAUUGCCACCUUUGCAAUAAAUAUACCACCAGUAUUUUUUUUAAAAAAAAAAAAACAACCAUCACACUAUUUUAUUGUUGGCUGUUCACCGCCCUGAGUCCUUCGGGAGUAGGGCGGUAUACAAAUCAAAUAAACUAUAAACUAUAAACUAUAACACUAUGACAUUCAGAUAGAGCACAGUUUAAUCAAAUGCAGGCAGGCUGCUUUCUGAGGCAGCUCCUGCAAUAUUGGUAUUUCAUGGCUAUUAUUAGACUUCACCUGUUACUAGGCAAGCAGGUACCUUUUGAAUCAGGUCUACUUUCUGAUUGGUCCUCAAGGGCAAGCGCCACAUAGAGCCAACUGCAGCAGUUACAAGGUGAGAAAAACAUAAGUGACUAUCAAUAAAGCCUCACAUUUUAGAGACAGCUGCAAUGGCACACUAGCCAAAGUUGGACAAAGUUGGACAAAGGGUAAUAUAGGCGUGACUAUAUUACAGGAUAUUACAGAAGCUAUAAAUUCAGGAAAAACUUUGUGCAACACACUUUCUGUAGUAUAGCUCCAUUUCAAGUUGGAGUCUUGUUAGGAAUAAACCUGAACUUGUGUGUGUGUGUGUGAGAGAGAGAGAGAGAGAGAGAAGAUAUAUCUAUAUAUGUUCGUGUAAAUGUAUAUGUAAAUGUCUAUUCUGAGCCAAAUAAGAUAAUGAAGUAAUCCUAACUUGGUACCUGAAAGCUUUCAGGAAUGAGAAACAACAAGUUCAGGUUUAUUUCUAACAAAAAAUAUACAUGCAUAUAUACAUACAUACAUACAUACAUGCAUACAUACAUACAAAAAAAAUUAUCUUGUGAAAAUGAGACAGCUACAUAUGUUUCUAAGAGCGAUUGUUGUUUUGCCUUUAAACUGAAAGCUAAUAAACUACCUUCUAAAUGUAGGUUUUGUUUUGUAUGAAACCAUCUGUUGAUAAAUCCAGAUGUGCUGACAAUUUGCAAACCAGACUUCCAGCAGCUCUGUAUAAAUUUAGCUCACCUUAAUAAUGUGGUUACAUUUUCUGGAACAGUCUGUUCAAUUUUGAUUCAAUUAAAAACACUGACUUUAAAAUGCAUAAAUAUAUUUGCCAUGUUGAUGUAUUUUUAAUGCAGUUUUGCCUCAUGCAAGGUGAAUUCUAUGAUGAUUGUACUUCUGAUUAUUGGUAAAUUAUAAAAGUAUUUCUAAUCUAACCAAUGCCAAUAAAUUUAUCACUUGCUAUACAACA